GACGAAAGAGGGAGGAGGGAGUAACACAUGCAAGUCGAACGGAAAGGCCCUGCUUUUGUGGGGUGCUCGAGUGGCGAACGGGUGAGUAACACGUGAGUAACCUGCCCUUGACUUUGGGAUAACUUCAGGAAACUGGGGCUAAUACCGGAUAGGAGCUCCUGCUGCAUGGUGGGGGUUGGAAAGUUUCGGCGGUUGGGGAUGGACUCGCGGCUUAUCAGCUUGUUGGUGGGGUAGUGGCUUACCAAGGCUUUGACGGGUAGCCGGCCUGAGAGGGUGACCGGCCACAUUGGGACUGAGAUACGGCCCAGACUCCUACGGGAGGCAGCAGUGGGGAAUAUUGCACAAUGGGCGGAAGCCUGAUGCAGCAACGCCGCGUGCGGGAUGACGGCCUUCGGGUUGUAAACCGCUUUCGCCUGUGACGAAGCGUGAGUGACGGUAAUGGGUAAAGAAGCACCGGCUAACUACGUG
This 468-nucleotide ribosomal RNA is filed under the name uncultured bacterium. RNAcentral describes it as "partial 16S ribosomal RNA". It matches the Rfam family "Bacterial small subunit ribosomal RNA", at positions 28 to 507 of the family's 1533-position model. The record is from RNAcentral.